GCAUUGGUAAUUCAAUGGUAGAAUGCCCCCCUUUCAUGGGGGAGACCUGAGUUCGAGUCCCAGACAAUGCA
Non-coding RNA from Trichechus manatus latirostris (Florida manatee), 71 nucleotides. The record is from the annotation of a RefSeq genome assembly. Lineage: Eukaryota; Metazoa; Chordata; Mammalia; Sirenia; Trichechidae.